This is a non-coding RNA of Schistosoma curassoni, 46 nucleotides long. Lineage: Eukaryota; Metazoa; Platyhelminthes; Trematoda; Strigeidida; Schistosomatidae. The record is from Rfam.
GCACUGCUGACGAGUCCCACAAUAGAAUGAAACACCCGUCCAGUGC